GAUGAACGCUGGCGGCGUGCCUAAUACAUGCAAGUCGAGCGAACAGACGAGGAGCUUGCUCCUCUGACGUUAGCGGCGGACGGGUGAGUAACACGUGGAUAACCUACCUAUAAGACUGGGAUAACUUCGGGAAACCGGAGCUAAUACCGGAUAACAUGUUGAACCGCAUGGUUCAACAGUGAAAGACGGUCUUGCUGUCCCUUAUAGAUGGAUCCGCGCCGCAUUAGCUAGUUGGUAAGGUAACGGCUUACCAAGGCAACGAUGCGUAGCCGACCUGAGAGGGUGAUCGGCCACACUGGAACUGAGACACGGUCCAGACUCCUACGGGAGGCAGCAGUAGGGAAUCUUCCGCAAUGGGCGAAAGCCUGACGGAGCAACGCCGCGUGAGUGAAGAAGGUCUUCGGAUCGUAAAACUCUGUUAGUAGGGAAGAACAAAUGUGUAAGUAACUAUGCACGUCUUGACGGUACCUAAUCAGAAAGCCACGGCUAACUACGUG
RNAcentral lists this ribosomal RNA (497 nucleotides) under uncultured bacterium. RNAcentral's name for it is "partial 16S ribosomal RNA". It matches the Rfam family "Bacterial small subunit ribosomal RNA", at positions 28 to 507 of the family's 1533-position model. The record is from RNAcentral.